This 693-nucleotide ribosomal RNA is filed under the name uncultured bacterium. RNAcentral's name for it is "bacterial SSU rRNA". It matches the Rfam family "Bacterial small subunit ribosomal RNA", at positions 63 to 754 of the family's 1533-position model. The record is from RNAcentral.
CGAACGAAGCGCCUGCGGCGGACCCCUCCGGGGGAAAGCCGCAGGGGACUGAGUGGCGGACGGGUGAGCAACGCGUGGGCAACCUGCCCCGUACCGGGGGACAACAGCCGGAAACGGCUGCUAAUACCGCAUAUUCCCGCGGGGCCGCAUGGCCCUGCGGGGAAAGCUCCGGCAGUACGGGAUGGGCCCGCGUCUGAUUAGCUUGUUGGCGGGGUAACGGCCCACCAAGGCUGCGAUCAGUAGCCGGCCUGAGAGGGCGGCCGGCCACAUUGGGACUGAGACACGGCCCAGACUCCUGCGGGAGGCAGCAGUGGGGGAUAUUGCACAAUGGGGGGAACCCUGAUGCAGCGACGCCGCGUGAACGAAGAAAUAUUUCGGUAUGUAAAGUUCUAUCAGCAGGGAAGAAAAUGACAGUACCUGACCAAGAAGCCCCGGCUAACUACGUGCCAGCAGCCGCGGUAAUACGUAGGGGGCGAGCGUUAUCCGGAUUCACUGGGCGUAAAGGGAGCGCAGGCGGCACGGCAAGUCCGGUGUGAAAGCCCGGGGCCCAACCCCGGGACUGCACUGGAAACUGCCGGGCUGGAGUGUCGGAGGGGCAGGCGGAAUUCCUAGUGUAGCGGUGAAAUGGGUGGAUAUUUGAAGGAACACCGGUGGCGAAGGCGGCCUGCUGGACGACGACUGACGCUGAGGCUC